CCUACGGGAGGCAGCAGUGGGGAAUUUUGGACAAUGGGCGAAAGCCUGAUCCAGCAAUGCCGCGUGCAGGAUGAAGGCCUUCGGGUUGUAAACUGCUUUUGUACGGAACGAAACGGUUCGCCUUAAUACGGUGGGCUAAUGACGGUACCGUAAGAAUAAGCACCGGCUAACUACGUGCCAGCAGCCGCGGUAAUACGUAGGGUGCGAGCGUUAAUCGGAAUUACUGGGCGUAAAGCGUGCGCAGGCGGUUAUAUAAGACAGAUGUGAAAUCCCCGGGCUCAACCUGGGACCUGCAUUUGUGACUGUAUAGCUAGAGUACGGUAGAGGGGGAUGGAAUUCCGCGUGUAGCAGUGAAAUGCGUAGAUAUGCGGAGGAACACCGAUGGCGAAGGCAAUCCCCUGGACCUGUACUGACGCUCAUGCACGAAAGCGUGGGGAGCAAACAGGAUUAGAUACCCUGGUAGUCCACGCCCUAAACCGAUGUCAACUGGUUGUUGGGUCUUCACUGACUCAGUAACGAAGCUAACGCGUGAAGUUGACCGCCUGGGGAGACGGCGCGAAGUAGUAGUUAGAAGAAGUUAGAGNGNGNGAGNGCGACGACGACGACGAGGAGGAGG
RNAcentral lists this ribosomal RNA (616 nucleotides) under uncultured bacterium. Its description in RNAcentral is "bacterial SSU rRNA". The stretch from base 1 to 543 matches the Rfam family "Bacterial small subunit ribosomal RNA", at positions 338 to 873 of the family's 1533-position model. The record is from RNAcentral.